AACGAACGCUGGCGGCAUGCCUAACACAUGCAAGUCGAACGAGACCUUCGGGUCUAGUGGCGCACGGGUGCGUAACGCGUGGGAACCUGCCCUUAGGUUCGGAAUAACUCCCCGAAAGGGGUGCUAAUACCGGAUAAUGUCUUCGGACCAAAGAUUUAUCGCCUUUGGAUGGGCCCGCGUUGGAUUAGCUAGUUGGUAGGGUAAAAGCCUACCAAGGCGACGAUACAUAGCUGGUCUGAUAGGAUGAUCAGCCACACUGGGACUGAGACACGGCCCAGACUCCUACGGGAGGGAGCAGUGUGGAAUAUUGGACAAUGGGCGAAAGCCUGAUCCAGCAAUGCCGCGUGAGUGAUGAAGGCCUUAGGGUUGUAAAGCUCUUUUACCCGGGAUGAUAAUGACAGUACCGGGAGAAUAAGCUCCGGCUAACUCCGUG
RNAcentral lists this ribosomal RNA (433 nucleotides) under uncultured bacterium. Its description in RNAcentral is "partial 16S ribosomal RNA". It matches the Rfam family "Bacterial small subunit ribosomal RNA", at positions 29 to 507 of the family's 1533-position model. The record is from RNAcentral.